ACUUAAAUAAUUUAAUAAUAAAAUAUUGAUUUGUGGGGUCAAAAAUAUGAGUGAGUAAUCAUUUUAAGUU
Molecule: transfer RNA, 70 nt
Filed under: Lethe distans
Lineage: Eukaryota; Metazoa; Arthropoda; Insecta; Lepidoptera; Nymphalidae
Description: tRNA-His
Source: RNAcentral